Molecule: ribosomal RNA, 370 nt
Filed under: Probergrothius angolensis
Lineage: Eukaryota; Metazoa; Arthropoda; Insecta; Hemiptera; Pyrrhocoridae
Description: bacterial SSU rRNA
Rfam family: Eukaryotic small subunit ribosomal RNA
Source: RNAcentral
GCUUCGCGGCGCUCCCUACACGACACGUCAUGUAGGUCGUCGCGUUGUCCUUGUACGCCGACUCAAUCCUACCGCGGUGCUCUUUACCGAGUGUCGAGGUAGGCCGGCACAUUUUACUUUGAACAAAUUAGAGUGCUUAAAGCAGGCUCUUAAAUCAGCCUGAAUAGUGGUGCAUGGAAUAAUGGAACAGGACCUUGGUUCUAUUUUGUUGGUUUUAGGAAUCCAAGGUAAUGAUCAAUAAGGACAGGCGGGGGCAUUCGUAUUUGCGACGUUAGAGGUGAAAUUCUUGGAUCGUCGCAAGACGCACUAGAGCGAAAGCAUUUGCCAAGUAUGUCUUAAUUUGAUCAAGAACGAAAGUUAGAGGUUCGAA